RNAcentral lists this ribosomal RNA (158 nucleotides) under Neofusicoccum luteum. RNAcentral's name for it is "5.8S ribosomal RNA". It matches the Rfam family "5.8S ribosomal RNA". From Rfam's summary of the family: 5.8S ribosomal RNA (5.8S rRNA) is a component of the large subunit of the eukaryotic ribosome. It is transcribed by RNA polymerase I as part of the 45S precursor that also contains 18S and 28S rRNA. Lineage: Eukaryota; Fungi; Ascomycota; Dothideomycetes; Botryosphaeriales; Botryosphaeriaceae. The record is from RNAcentral.
AAACUUUCAACAACGGAUCUCUUGGUUCUGGCAUCGAUGAAGAACGCAGCGAAAUGCGAUAAGUAAUGUGAAUUGCAGAAUUCAGUGAAUCAUCGAAUCUUUGAAUGUACAUUGCGCCCCUUGGUAUUCCGAGGGGCAUGCCUGUUCGAGCGUCAUUU